GAAUUCUUCUCUCAAGUGGGAAGGCGCCCGAGAGUAGACACCAGCUCGUUUUGGCCUCCUGUUCUGCCACCCUUCAAACUUGGCUGCUGCCCCUCCACGCCGGCUUCCCCGCCACCUUCCAAGCACAAAGAAGGAGGAGGGCAAGGGAGCAAACGGCAGGAUGACCAUGCCAGUUGCUCUGUCCCUUUUCCAAAGCUUUCCCAGAACUGUACCCAGAGACCCCACUCACAUCCCAGUGGCCAGACUGGAUCACAUGGCCAUUCCUACCUGCGAAGGAGGCUAAAAAAGGUGACCUUUCUAGUCUUCUGGCCUCUUCAAUAGAGGAAAGUAGAGAGAAGGGAGUUGUAAGUCUGCCCCUCCCCCACCCCGGGCGCUAAGAGAUGGGGGGUAACUCUGCAAAGCUGUCCUUCUGCCUCAAAGAUCAUUCCGCAGACACUGCUCUCUCCGUUAGAGUGUGCGGGGAAUAUUGGAAGAAAGGAAGGAUCCUUGCCCCUCCCCCAUUCACAGCAGAGCAGAACAGCAGGUUUGUCUGUUCAAAAACACAUGCCUUGGGAGUUGCUUCACUCGGGGUCAAACCUGUCUUCUCAGCAGCAAAGUUCUCAUUUUUACAUCCGUGUCAAUCACUGAGGAAGAUUAAAAAAAAAAACCCUGUUGAGUUACCUCUCCCCAUAUACCAACUAGGAGUGAGCUCAAAAUACCAGGACCUGGCCUCAUGUAAUUUACCGCCCAAGACUGGAAAUACAGGUUGGGGGGGGGGACACGGGCCAUCAUAAAGCAGACGAACCACUUACAAAUGCGACGAGCUGCCCCCGCAUGCACGCACCUGCUGCCUUCACCACUAGACAUCGAAAUGGUGCCCUGCAGAAGAUGAAGAAUUAGGAAAAACCUGGGAUUAAAAGGAGCAAGAGAGAACAUUGUCUUUAGAGGGAGUGGGCAAGAACGACCCAAGCUUCUAGGCUCUAAUCUGGGAGGCACAGAGGAUCGGGAAGGAUCUGAAAAACUGACACUGAACCUUCGCGAAGCAGAGAGAGAAGCUGGGGAGUUGGGAGGAGUCCACAGAAGUGAAAAGCUCCUGACCUCUGAGCCUCAGUCCCCACGUCCCUGAAAUAAGAAUAAGAACCAUACUUGCUCUGCCCAUUUCAAAGAGGUGGUGUGAGGAUUAAAGGAAAUGUCUUUUUUAAAUAUUUAGAUUUGAUGCCAUUUGCUGAUGAUAAUUGACAUGUGUGUGCUUGUGAAGAAAGUGAAAAGGACACGUUCCUGAACCACAGCAAUUUCGUGUAGCACAGUCAACGGAUAGAGGGCAAGAUGAUGGCCACUCUGUGUUUGCACCGUCCAGAUCGUAGAUGAGGGUGGAAACUUUAUUAUCUAUGCAACGAGGAAUGGAUGUUUAACUUGGAAAAGAGAGGAGAUAAGGACACCAAGGCACAGAGAGGUUAAGGAAACCCUACUAAGUCAAGCUAGUAAAUGGCGGAACCUGAACUUGAAUCCACGUGGUUGGAAAUCAGAGUCCAGUGCUUACACACAAUGCUGUGCAGCAUUUUCAUGGGCAUUUACAGGUGAGGAAAAUAAGGCACAGAACCAUGAGCCAUUGAACCAUGGUCACACUGCUAACAGUGAUGAAGCCAGAAUUGGAAGCUGUUGGAAACCAAUGAACAAUUAGGAGGACAAUUGUGGUUCAAUGUACAAAGACUUGUCUCACUGGGAAAGCCACCUAACAAAGAGAUGAGCAGCCCAGUGGGGUUCUGAGUCCCCUGUGCCCAGAAACAUCCAGGAAAAGAGAUGAAAAUACUAUCUUCUAAUGCAUCCAGCUUAGGAUUCCCCGUUCUAGGGAGACUCCCCUGCUUGGGUAGGGAUUUGAUGGCCCUGCUGCUUCCUCCCCUGGUCCUCCUCUGGUCAAGGACCUCAAACUGAAAGCAGGUUAUCUUGACAUGCCCACUACUAGCUGCUGUCAUUGACGUUUGAGUUUGUUUCUAAAGGUCCCAGAUGGUUUUUGACAAUUGAAUAGCCUUUGGCUGAACCAUCAAAGCUGGUUCACGCACAUGUGGUCCUCACGCACUCAUCUGCUCAUCCAUCUGACGCUUAUUGAGCAUCUAUGAAGAGCCAGGCACUGUCUAGGUGCUAAGGAUGCAGGAGGAAGAGGAUGCAGGCCCUCCAACAGAGGCUGCUGAUGCUCCGCUCGUGAUCCACCCACCCUGGAGGUCGCUGCAGACGGGUCCCAUCCGGGCCACGGCUUCCAGCCUCUCUGUGCCCCAGAGUGCUCUCUGACCACGGCGUGCAUGGCUCAUGAGAGGAAGGGAGUCAGUGGAUAAAUGCCCAGCUUCCGUGCUCUUCAGUGGGACAAUGGGAGGUGUUCUCCUUACAGACAGUCCAUGGCUCCCCAACAGAACCGAGCCCCAGUUCUUGAAUCCACAGCAGGAACAUCAUUAAUGCUCCCUCCUAUUGUCUCUCCUCUCCUCCCUGUCUCGCUUCCUCACUCACUCACCGUGCUUCUUGGGAUCAUUUCCUUAAAGAACUACUAUCACCCAAAUCCUUGUCUCAGGAUCUGCUUUUGGGGGAACCUGUCCUCAAGGGGCUUCCGACCUCCUAGUUGGGGCAUAUGUAUUGUUACUGAGGCUGCAGAUUCACUCGAAUAAACCUCACUGAGAAAACCAGAGGCGGCUUCCUUAGGAAAGACACGCGCACCGUGUGGCUCUCCCCCCAAGUGCCUUCAGGUCAGGAUUUAACGUGGAACAAAGACAUGGGGGACGCCUGCAGGGCAAGGCCAGGCCAGCGUACGCACCGUCCAUCACCUGCACAAGAGGAGAGAAAGGACGGGAGGAGAAGGGGGCCCUGUGGAGCAGCCAGUGAGGCCUGUCUUUAGCCACUGCGGGCCUCUGUCUGUGUGGGGGGGCGCAGCCUCGGACCCAGCGGGACGCUCUGCCCUGCACGCAGGACCACUCCUGCGGCAGCUUUGGCUGUCGGCUGCUGGUAGAGGAGAGGGAAACUGGAAAAAUUGGGGACUUUGUCCUCAAAAGAGCAGCAGCAAAGGGAGGCGAGGUGGCGUCUGACAGCCGCCUGAUGCCCUUGAGGCUGGGUUUCAGCAGGUGAGGACCACAGCGCAGCAUCCCUGCAGCUGUCCCACGUCCCCGCAUCAGACACACAGGAGGACCGCAGUGUGAGCUCUAGGGUCUGCCCGCACGGAAUUUCUCUUAGGUUUAAGCAGGUCUAGCAAGCUGUCGGAAGAACUGAAACACCAGGCCACAGCGCACGCUGGUUGGCGUGAGGGAGGAAGCUGCAAGCUCUGCUCUCGGGACAGAAGCAGACAGGAGUUGUCCGCCCCUGACAGCCCCCCAGGAGGAGCCCUUUACGCCUGGUGGAGAGGGCUUCAGGAAAUGCAGAAGGAGCUGCUGUCCUCCUGUGGCUUGUGGAGGCCCGAGCAGAGCUGCCUUGGGCCCACGCGUCAGCAGUGGGACAGAGUGCGGGAAGGAUGGUGCUCUGCAUCCUCCCUGGGGCACAGCCAGGCGGUGAGGCCAGAGGAAGUGUGGGACUAUGAGGUCAUCCGACGGGGUUUCAGGGUUGAGGCCCAGCGACAGAGGGAGCCCGCAGCCAUGCCCUCUUUACUCACGGAUGGUGUUGCAGCAGGCAGGCACCCUUAACGUGAAUGAUGAGGGGACAGGAGGGGAGACAUGAGAGAACUCUGGGGGGUCCUAUAAAAUCCCCCCAGGGAUCCCAGAAGAACUGGCAGACAUUUUCGAUUGGGGCAGAGAAAGAAUUUGGUUUCUUUUAUGUGGAGGUAGGAGUUAAAUUUGCACUUUAAAAUUCCAAAUCCAAGGUUGGGAAAACUGGCCAAAACUGACAUCGGUGCGCCGCAGAGAGGCCGAUCCGGCCAAGUGCUGCUCUAGCUCCCAGGAAAGCCCAGGCAGGUCCACAUGGUCUUCCAGGGUCCCGAGCCCAGGUCAGGUCCAGCCUCAGGAGAGCACACCACCCCCGGGCAUGGACUACCAACUUCCGGCCAGUGAACCUAAAUGUUUCCAAAGGCCAGUUGUUCAAAGUUUGACUUUCAAGGUGCCCAGCUCAUCUUCAGGG
Molecule: long non-coding RNA, 4065 nt
Organism: Equus caballus (horse)
Lineage: Eukaryota; Metazoa; Chordata; Mammalia; Perissodactyla; Equidae
Source: Ensembl